RNAcentral lists this ribosomal RNA (528 nucleotides) under uncultured bacterium. Its description in RNAcentral is "bacterial SSU rRNA". It matches the Rfam family "Bacterial small subunit ribosomal RNA", at positions 777 to 1304 of the family's 1533-position model. The record is from RNAcentral.
AAUAGAUACCCCGGUAGUCCAUGCCGUAAACGAUGUCUACUAGCCGUUGGGGCCCUUGAGGCUUUAGUGGGCGCAGCUAACGCGAUAAGUAGACCGCCUGGGGAGUACGGUCGCAAGACUAAAACUCAAAUGAAUUGACGGGGGCCCGCACAAGCGGUGGAGCAUGUGGUUUAAUUCGAUGCAACGCGAAGAACCUUACCUGGCCUUGACAUACAGAGAACUUUCCAGAGAUGGAUUGGUGCCUUCGGGAACUCUGAUACAGGUGCUGCAUGGCUGUCGUCAGCUCGUGUCGUGAGAUGUUGGGUUAAGUCCCGCAACGAGCGCAACCCUUUUCCUUAUUUGCCAGCACUUCGGGUGGGAACUUUAAGGAUACUGCCAGUGACAAACUGGAGGAAGGCGGGGACGACGUCAAGUCAUCAUGGCCCUUACGGCCAGGGCUACACACGUGCUACAAUGGUCGGUACAAAGGGUUGCUACUGCGCGAGCAGAUGCUAAUCUCAAAAAGCCGAUCGUAGUCCGGAUCGCAGU